GAGGGCAUAGCUCAGUGGUAGAGCACAUGCUUAGCAUGCAUGAGGUCCUGGGCUCAAUCCCUAGUACCUCCA
Molecule: transfer RNA, 72 nt
Filed under: Camelus bactrianus (Bactrian camel)
Lineage: Eukaryota; Metazoa; Chordata; Mammalia; Artiodactyla; Camelidae
Also listed under: 2 other names
Rfam family: tRNA
About the family: Transfer RNA (tRNA) molecules are approximately 80 nucleotides in length. Their secondary structure includes four short double-helical elements and three loops (D, anti-codon, and T loops).
Source: Rfam by way of RNAcentral